Non-coding RNA from Schistosoma curassoni, 45 nucleotides. NCBI's taxonomy places the organism in Eukaryota, Metazoa, Platyhelminthes, Trematoda, Strigeidida, Schistosomatidae. The record is from Rfam.
AUCCAGCUGACGAGUCCCAAAUAGGUUGAAACGCAAGUCUUGGAU